AUUUUUAAAAUUUAUUGUUUUUUUUCUUUCUUUCUUUCGUUGCUGUUGAUUUGUUCUUGAGAUGGCAACACCACCAAACAGGACAUGUCCUCGUCUCCAGUGCCUGUGCAGGGCUACAAUUCCUUUAAAGCAUCCAGGGCUUGCUUCAGCUUUCCUCUCCUGCCUCACCCCCCAUGAAGUCAAAUAAUUUCCACAUUUUUUAGUAAUAUAGUUAGCCCUGUAAACACUUUUUUCCAUUCUCCCACCUUCUGUUUUCCUCUCUCAAGUCUAUGGGUAAAAAAUUAACGAAAAAGAAAAAAAAAAAGUAUUUGUAUCCCACUCACCCUAAUUUUGGCUCUUCUCUCCAAAGAUGACUGGACUUAAAGAGACUGAAUAGGGUCAGAGUUGGCGUAUACAUGAAUUUUGGCCCUGGCAGGUCCUAAUAUUGAUGUGACCAUGAUAAAAAGCAGAACAGGCUCUUUGCUUACUUCUCCUUAUGUGAACAACUCUAAAGGUGAGAAUAAACAGUUGGGACCAGACACAAGUUGGGACACGAGGAGAAAUUUCGACUCACUUUCAUUAAAAGAGGAAGGGGAAAGGAAAAGAAGAGAGGGGAGGAGAGAAUGAAAGGACAAAACAAAACCUUAAGAGAUGAUCCUGACCCUUUCCUUCCGAUUGCAGCUGCUUAAUUCAUUUGAAUCCCCAUCUUCCCUAAGUAAAUGUUUCUGUUUCACAGAAAGAUUUGUAAUUUUAUUUUUCUGUGUGCACACGUGUGCUAGCAUGUUUGUGUGUAGGUACAUGUAUGUAAGUGUGCAUGUCAUUUGCUACCAGGAGAAUGUUUUCAAUUGUAGUUUCAGUUUAGUUUUCCUUUUUUUUUUCUUUUUUAUUUCUUUAAAAUUAUUUUUCCUUUUAGAAACAAGUUCACCAGGAAACCAGCUCCCCUCCCACCACGCCGGACAGGCCACAGCCAUCUCUCUAAACAGCGCUGAUUCUCCCUCACAUCCCCAAACAGGAACUCCUCAGGGUGGCCUUGGAAGGCUGGAGUCUCUCCCUGUCUGGCGGGAUGCCUUGGUGGCGGGUGAAGGCCCCUCUGCCACAGUGGAGGUUUCUGAUUGUGGGACACAGUCUGGUUUUUGUUUUCUUCCUGUCUUCUAA
RNAcentral lists this long non-coding RNA (1134 nucleotides) under Capra hircus (goat). Its description in RNAcentral is "lncRNA (ENSCHIG00010014289.1)". Lineage: Eukaryota; Metazoa; Chordata; Mammalia; Artiodactyla; Bovidae. The record is from RNAcentral.